Molecule: ribosomal RNA, 305 nt
Filed under: uncultured bacterium
Lineage: Bacteria
Description: bacterial SSU rRNA
Rfam family: Bacterial small subunit ribosomal RNA
Source: RNAcentral
UGUACCUACGGGGGGCAGCAGUGGGGGAUAUUGCACAAUGGGCGAAAGCCUGAUGCAGCGACGCCGCGUGAGGGAAGACGGUCUUCGGAUUGUAAACCUCUGUCUUUGGGGAAGAAGAUGACGGUACCCAAAGAGGAAGCUCCGGCUAACUACGUGCCAGCAGCCGCGGUAAUACGUAGGUGGCAAGCGUUGUCCGGAAUUACUGGGUGUAAAGGGAGCGCAGGCGGGAAGCCAAGUCAGCUGUGAAAACUACGGGCUUAACUUGUAGACUGCAGUUGAAACUGGUUUUCUUGAGUGAAGUAGAG